AGUGAACGCUGGCGGUAGGCCUAACACAUGCAAGUCGAACGGCAGCACAGUAAGCGCUUGCUCUUACGGGUGGCGAGUGGCGGACGGGUGAGGAAUACAUCGGAAUCUACUUUUUCGUGGGGGAUAACGUAGGGAAACUUACGCUAAUACAGCAUACGACCUACGGGUGAAAGCAGGGGAUCUUCGGACCUUGCGCGAUUGAAUGAGCCGAUGUCGGAUUAGCUAGUUGGCGGGGUAAAGGCCCACCAAGGCAACGAUCCGUAGCUGGUCUGAGAGGAUGAUCGGCCACACUGGAACUGAGACACGGUCCAGACUCCUACGGGAGGCAGCAGUGGGGAAUAUUGGACAAUGGGCGAAAGCCUAACCCAGCCAUACCGCGUGGGUGAAGAAGGCCUUCGGGUCGUAAAGCCCUUUUGUUGGGAAAGAACAGCAGCGGGUUAAUACCCGGCUGUCCUGACGGUACCCAAAGAAUAAGCACCGGCUAACUACGUG
Molecule: ribosomal RNA, 492 nt
Filed under: uncultured bacterium
Lineage: Bacteria
Description: partial 16S ribosomal RNA
Rfam family: Bacterial small subunit ribosomal RNA
Source: RNAcentral